This 229-nucleotide long non-coding RNA is filed under the name Helianthus annuus (common sunflower). RNAcentral describes it as "sRNA HanXRQr2_Chr03g0102051". Lineage: Eukaryota; Viridiplantae; Streptophyta; Magnoliopsida; Asterales; Asteraceae. The record is from RNAcentral.
AUGUACGUUAAACGUAAGUAUGUAUGUGGGAUCAUGCAAUACCCUAAUGUCCAAACAACCUGGUUUUACGGAAUCAAGUUAACAAGUGAUGCAACCGGAGAUGUUUAGAGCCGAGAGAGAGCUUCGAGAAGGACAACUGCCAUUGACGUUGAGAGAGGGAAGAGGGGUAUCGAGCACAGGGGACUUCGAAGGAGGGGAGCUGAUCAUCGACUUUAAGAAGGUGCUUAGG